Molecule: ribosomal RNA, 577 nt
Filed under: Belonolaimus longicaudatus
Lineage: Eukaryota; Metazoa; Nematoda; Chromadorea; Rhabditida; Belonolaimidae
Description: eukaryotic LSU rRNA
Rfam family: Eukaryotic large subunit ribosomal RNA
Source: RNAcentral
UCUGGCUUGCAUUCAGCCAUUCGGUUGUUAAUUACCUGGUUUUUGGCACCAGACUGGGCCGAUUCUGGGCAUUUUGGCUGCCGAAGGGUGCAUUUGUGGGUCGAGUGCGUCGAGGCGUUCGGUCAAGUGGCAUGAGCCUGGUUUUGAGGCCAUUCCGCAAGGAUAUGGUACCCAAACUGGGGGAAUGCUAUUUUCGCUGGGCGACCAAAGAGCAUGGCACACGGGUUUGAAUUUGUUUCAUGUUGAUCGCCGGUUACGGUCGCGUGCGACACGUGCUGGUUGUUGGCUUGAACGGGUUCCGACUCUCGUGCUUGUCCUCGAUGUAAAAGCUGGUCAUCUGUCCGACCCGUCUUGAAACACGGACCAAGGAGUUUAGCGUGUUCGCGAGUCAUUGGGUAUUGAAAACCCAAGGGCGAAAUGAAAGUGAAGGUACUCGCAAGAGGCUGACGUGUGAUCCUGCGCACCUCGGUGCGCAGGCGCAACAUGGCCCCGUCCCGACUGCAUGCAGUGGGGCGGAGGCAGAGCGUAUGCGCUGAGACCCGAAAGAUGGUGAACUAUUCCUGAGCAGGAUGAAGCC